AUACAUUUUUCGGUCUUUUGGCUAAGAUCAAGUGUAGUAUCUUUCUUAUUAGUUUAAUAUCUGAUAUGUGGCUUAAUAAGUCAUAUGAUAUUGCAUUAUUGCAUAGGUUGACGCACUCUAU
This 121-nucleotide small nuclear RNA is filed under the name Medicago truncatula (barrel medic). RNAcentral's name for it is "sRNA gene50094". It matches the Rfam family "U2 spliceosomal RNA". Rfam says of the family: U2 is a small nuclear RNA (snRNA) component of the spliceosome (involved in pre-mRNA splicing). Complementary binding between U2 snRNA (in an area lying towards the 5' end but 3' to hairpin I) and the branchpoint sequence (BPS) of the intron results the bulging out of an unpaired adenosine, on the BPS, which initiates a nucleophilic attack at the intronic 5' splice site, thus starting the first of two transesterification reactions that mediate splicing. The record is from Rfam by way of RNAcentral. Lineage: Eukaryota; Viridiplantae; Streptophyta; Magnoliopsida; Fabales; Fabaceae.